Molecule: long non-coding RNA, 790 nt
Filed under: Sorghum bicolor (sorghum)
Lineage: Eukaryota; Viridiplantae; Streptophyta; Magnoliopsida; Poales; Poaceae
Description: long non-coding RNA (SBIC_LNC007808)
Source: RNAcentral
GAACGCAGCAUCAAGAAACAUUUAGUCUCUCUGCAUAUAUACAUACACAUAUACAUUCCAAGGAAGAAGACUUACCAAUCCUCGUGGCGAUGGGCUACAAGAAGAUUCAGGUCUUGGUCACUGUUGCGCUGCUGAUGGCUCUCCUCACCGCAGUUGCGUCGGCGGGCAGGAGCAGUUUCCAGCUGGAGCCGGAAGCUAAAGCUCGAUGCACCAGAGUUGGAGCCUGUUCGACUAGCUUGUGCACGUCCCGCUGCGACAAGCAUUCUGCAGGGUCAUGCAUUAUCAGGGGCCAGUUCGUCUACUGCUGCUGUAACCCAGUACCGAUCGCCAAUGGCCCCGAUGUCCAGCCGCUUCUUUAUUGAUCCAUUCGCCUUUUUGCUUGACGCGUAUGGUUGAGCUAUUGGUUAUUUUAUACCUAUUGUUGGCUGAUUUGUUGUGAGAGAAAAACACUGCUAGAUGGCUACAGACUCAGUUGGUUAGGCUGAUAGUGGGCGAUGAGUGUGGUUAGGCUGUUGCUGAGUGGUGGCAACUCACAUAUCUGUAAUACAAGUUGUGGAUCGGAGUAUUGUGUGUUUUCAUACGUUUCUGGGUGGUGCCAUUUGUAGUUGGUCGAUCGGAGUAUUGUGUGUUUUAUUUUAAAGAAGACAUGUCAUUCAGUUUGGUUUUAUGUUGAGUCCGCGGUACCAUUGUUGGUGGUUUUUUUACUUGUGUGUUCGCUCUUGUGUCAGGGUCUUUUGCUGCGGCUCCGAUAUGGUGCCAUUGUUGGAUAUCCUCUUACUUGUUAAGCUAG